This 337-nucleotide unclassified non-coding RNA is filed under the name soil metagenome. Its description in RNAcentral is "partial contains 5.8S ribosomal RNA, internal transcribed spacer 2, and large subunit ribosomal RNA". The stretch from base 1 to 120 matches the Rfam family "5.8S ribosomal RNA", at positions 35 to 154 of the family's 154-position model. The record is from RNAcentral.
GAUGAAGAACGUAGCGAAAUGCGAUAAGUAAUGUGAAUUGCAGAAUUCAGUGAAUCAUCGAAUCUUUGAAUGCACAUUGCGCCCGCCAGUAUUCUGGCGGGCAUGCCUGUUCGAGCGUCAUUUCAACCAUCAAGCCCCCGGGCUUGUGUUGGGGACCUGCGGCUGCCGCAGGCCCUGAAAAGCAGUGGCGGGCUCGCUGUCACACCGAGCGUAGUAGAUUUUAUCUCGCUCAGGGCGUGCUGCGGGUUCCGGCCGUUAAACCACCUUCAUAACCCAAGGUUGACCUCGGAUCAGGUAGGAAGACCCGCUGAACUUAAGCAUAUCAAUAAGCGGAGGA